RNAcentral lists this long non-coding RNA (6801 nucleotides) under Triticum aestivum (bread wheat). RNAcentral's name for it is "long non-coding RNA (TAES_LNC010213)". The record is from RNAcentral. Lineage: Eukaryota; Viridiplantae; Streptophyta; Magnoliopsida; Poales; Poaceae.
UGUUUCCUUUUUGGGUUUUGUUUUGUUUCUUAUUGCAUUGCCAUGCUUACCUUGUCAUAUUGCAUUUGUGCCUCUUGUCAUUUUGCAUUUGUCAUCUCAUAUUGCAAGAUGAUCAUUACCCCUGAUAUCACUUCUAUCUUUGCUUGCUAGUUGUUCGUUCUAUCGCUAUGUCGCGCUACCUACCACUUGUUUAUCAAGCCUCCCUUAUUGCCAUGUCAAGCCUCUAACCCACCUUCCUCCCAAACCGUUGUUUGGCUAUGUUACCGCUUUUGCUCAGCCCCUCUUAUAGCGUUGCUAGUUGCAGGUGCAGUGCAGGUUGUUCCAUGUUGGAACAUGGAUACGUUGGGAUAUUACAAUAUCUCUUAUUUAAUUAAUGCAUCUAUAUACUUGGCAAAGGGUGGAAGGCUUGGCGUUUUGCUUGGUGUUUUGUUCCACUCUUCCGCCUUGGUUUCCGUCAUACCGGUGUUAUGUUCCUUGAAUUUUGCGUUCCUAACACGGUCGGGCUGUUAUGCGCCCCCUUGCCUCUUCUCCUAAAGUAAAGCUUUCCCGAGGAGAUCCAACAUUGGUUUUACCAUUUUCCUAAUAACAACUAAAAUUUGCAUAGAUAGUAAGAUUGCUGAGUCCUCGUGGCUCACAGAUACUACAAACACAAUUGCAGGUGUCGAUCAUACCGAUGCAGGUGAUGCCACCGAGCUCAAGUGGGAGUUCGACGAAGACCUUGGCCGUUACUAUGUUUCCUUUCCAGAUGAUCAGUAGUGGCGCCCAGUAGGGACGAUCGGGACUUAGCAUGGGGGUGUCUUCUUUUCAUUUGGAUCCGUCUGUAGUCGGACCUUGUGUGUACUCUCUAUGAUGUAUGAAUACUUUGAUCAUUGUGUGACAUGGCGAUUGUAAGCCAACUAGUUACUUCCUUGUUCAUUUACAUGGGAAUGUGUGAAGAUGACCCUUCUUGUGAUCAUACGAAAAAGUGGUUAUGCCUCUAAGUCGUGCCUCGACACGUGGGAGAUAUAGCUGCAUCUUGUGCGUUACAAGUUGGUAAUCAGAGCCAACCCGACUUAGGAGCCCCCUGCUUGAUCGAACCACUAACGUUGUUGAGUCUAGAACAAAACAAUUUCGAGUCUUAGGAAUAUAUAUAUAUAUAUAUAUAUAUAUAUAUAUAUCGGAGAGUAGGAUUCUUUUUACUCCUCAACCCCUUCGUCACUCUGGUAAGGACUCCUGACGUAGAUGUUUUGAAUUCUCUCUCCUCAUUUUCACUAAAAAAAUUAGGAUCAUGCGGGUAUCUUGGGAUCAUUCCAAUAUUUUUGUGACGAGAACAUUGUUCUUGGUGCCUCCUGACAUUUAGGGGUUGUGACAGUUUCCCGGGGAGUUGAGCUCCGAGAUGUUGUCACAAUUUUAUCGUUACAGUUCUGGUAUACCUGAGCUCGCCGACAUCGAAAAUCUCUUUUAUGUAGUUAGUGGUAAGAUAACCUCGACGUCACCCAGUACCGGGGAGGGACUUUGGGAGUAUUGCCAUAGCAAGUAUAACGGAUGCUUUUCGAAGGUCGAGGUACAAGAUUUUCGGAGUUUUCUUGGUUAUGUGUUGACGGAUGGAUACAGUGGAGCGUAGGGCUUGUUAGUUGUGUGAUAUAUAUUGUGCCUCCAUGUAUCCCCAACACCAGAUUGCAUAACCAGAAAGUUUCGGGAGUUAAUAGGUGGGAAUUCUAGUAGCUCUUAGUUAUUCUUCCGAUAGAUAAUUGGAAUGGGAUUGGGGGAUCCUUACCAUUUAUUUGUUCCAGUCGUACCUUGUUGUUUCAUUCAUCAACCUUUGUCUAAGUGGCUUCUCACCUUAAUGGUCAUGUAAUGUUAACUUUGGAGUUCAUUCAUUCAAUCUCUGUUCGAAUGCUUAUUGUGAAGACUAUAUGUUGCACAUUUCUAUUCGUUGACUCAGCUUGUCUAUCUUUCUGUGGUGGUUCUAACGGAUUUCACCUCUUCAGGAUGGCUCCCCCAACGCGUCUGAAUCCGGAACGUAGCGAUGGAUAGCAGUCCAACCCUCUGCCACCUCCUCCACCUCCGGAGGCAUGGCAAGCCGUGAUGGCAGCCACCAACGCCAAUACCCAUAUGCUUUUGCAGCUCUUGCAAGAGUGCAACCAAGGCCAAGGCAACCAAGGAAAUCAAGGCCAAGGGCAAUUCAACAAUCAGCCUCAGUUUGCUACCCUCAACCAGUUUCUUGCAAAUCAGCCAAAGUCUUUCAGCGCUUGUGCCGAGGCCAUGGAUGCUGAUGAUUGGCUUGUGGACAUUUACAAGCAUUUUGAAUGCAGCAAUGUCAGGCCUGAGGACUACGUAAAGUUCGCUUCUUUUUAGCUCAAGGACCAAGCAGCAGAUUGGUAUCAAUAGUACAAAGAUUCCAGAGGGGUCGAGUGAUUACCUGGACUGACUUCUACUGGGACUUUCGAUCUCAUCACAUUCCAACAAGUGUUGUCGAGAGCAAGUGUGAGGAAUUCCACAAUCUCAAGCAAGGAAGCAUGUCCAUGUAUCAAUACAACAUCCAGUUUGAGAAGCUUGCUUGCUUCGCAAGGCAAGACGUUCCUGAUGAAAAGAGCAUGAUCUAUCACUUCAGGGGUGGCCUCAGAGAGGAUCUGCAGUUAGCUCUUGUUCUUGUUGAGCCUACUCAGUUUGAUCAGUUCUACAACAUGGCCCUCAGGCAAGAAGCUGCUCAGCUCAAGUGUGAGGCUUCAAAGAAGAGAAUCAGGGAUGCAGUUCACUCGUCUUCUUCCUCUCAAGUGGUAGCUAAGCAACAGAAGUUCUGGCUUCCUCAACCUCCUCUGUUUCGUCAGCCCUACCAGCAGAAGAACUCAGGUGGUCGUGGAUCUUCCCACCCACCCAACCCAGGCUAUCAGAACAAGUCUCAGACUCAGGCUCCAAGGACAGGUGGCCUCCUCUUCCUCAUUAUCAAUGCCUGCUUUCAGAGGUUACUUGCAACAAGUGUGGUCAUAAAGGGCACUACGCAAACAAGUGCACCCAGAGGCACCUUCUGCCUCCUCCUCCUGUGAGGUCUUCAAGCAAUGCAGUUGUCAAGCACAAUCCAAAGUUUGCAAAGGUGAACAUGUUGAAUGCAACUCAAGCAGAGGAUUCUUCAGAUGUGAUCAUGGGUAACCUCACAGUUAACUCUUUUGCGGAAAAAUUAUUAUUUGAUACUGGUGCAUCACAUUCUUUUAUAUCAAGACCUUUUUAUGAGAUGCAUGACUUGAUGCCUGAGUUAUUAGCCAAGCCUUUAUCCAUUGUCUCUCCGGGGAAGAUCAUGAAUUCUCGCUUGAUAGUUCCUGAUGUCAGCAUCAAGAUGGGCAACUAUAAAUUCCUGGCUUCCCUAAUUGUUCUCGGCCACUCUGAUAUUGAUCUCAUUCUCGGCAUGGAUUGUCUUUCUUAGCACAAGGCCUUUCUUGAUUGUGCUACCAGGGAGAUUAAACUGACGCACCCUUUUGAGGAUGUGAUCAUCUAUGCCGCUCGUAAUGAAACCAUCCGGUUCUUCUCUUUCAAUGAGAAGGGCGAGUUAGACGCUAUUUCUCAGAUUCCAGUGGUUUGUGAGUAUCAAGAUGUCUCUCCAUAAGAGCUUCCGGGUAUGCCUCCUCACCGGCCAGUCGAGUUUGUUAUUGAUCUUGAGCCCGGUACAGAACCCGUUUGCAAGCGCCCAUACAAGCUUGGGACAAAAGAGCUGAAAGAAUUGAAGAAACAACUCGAUAAACAAGAGCAUCUAGGUCUGAUCAGACCAAGUUCAUCUCCGUGGGGUUGUGGUGUUCUUUUUGUCCAGAAGAAGGAUGGCACGGACCGACUUUGCAUCGAUUACCGCCCAUUGAACAAGAAGACAAUCACGAAUACAUACCCACUUCCCAAUAUUAAUGAGCUAUUCGAGCAACUCAAAGGUGCAAAGGUGUUUUCCAAGCUUGACCUCCGAAUGGGGUAUCAUCAGAUUCACAUUCCUGAAGAAUAUAUCCCAAAGACAGCAUUGAGAACAAGCUUCGGGUCUUAUGAAUAUACUAUUAUGUCUUUCGGGCUUGCAAAUGCCCCUCCAACUUUCUCUCGCACGAUGAACUUCAUCUUCAACCCCUACACCAAUGAAUUCUUCCUGGUAUAUCUCGACGAUAUCUCGGUUUUCUCCAAGAAUAAAAAGGAUUAUGCCAAUCAUUUGCGAUUGGUUCUCGACAAGCUCAGAGAGUAUCAAUUCUAUGCAAAGUUCUCCAAAUGUGUGUUUUGGCUUGAUGAAGUUCUUUACCUUGGCCACAUCAUCUCCGCCAAGGGCAUUUCUGUUAAUCCAGAGAAGGUUUUUGCAAUUGUUACAUUUGAACCUCCUCAGAAUGUAAAGCAGCUCCGUAGUUUCCUUGGGCUUGCAAGCUAUUGCAGAAGGUUUGUGGAAAACUUCUCAAAGAUUGCUAAGCCUCUUUCCAACCUCCUCCAGAAGCAUGUCAAGUACUCCUGGACUCCUUAGUGUGACAUUGCUUUCAACACUCUCAAAGAGAAACUCGUCUCAGCUCCUGUCCUAACUCCUCUCGAUGAGUCCAAGCCAUAUGAAGUUUUCUAUGAUGCCUCAUUGCAAGGUCUCGGUGCUGUGUUAAUGCAAGAGAAGAAAGUUGUGGCCUAUAUUUCUUGUCAGUUGAAGCCAAAUGAAAGGAACUACCCCACUCACGAUCUUGAGUUGGCGGCAGUUGUCCAUGCAUUAAUAACAUGGAGACAUCUCUUGUUGGGAAGGCAAGUGGACAUUUUCAACGAUCACAAGAGCGUCAAAUACAUCUUCACUCAACCCAACCUCAACCUCCGGCAAACUUGUUGGGACGAAAUGAUUCAAGAGUACAAUCCAAGCAUUGAAUACACUCCAAGCAAGGCGAAUGUGAUUGUAGAUGCUUUGAGCAGAAAGGCUUAUUGCAAUAGCUUAAUUCUCAAGCCAUUCCAACUUGAUCUUUGUGAAGCAUUUUGAAAGCUCAACCUUCAAGUCACUCCAACUUUGGAAGAUCAAAUUCGUGAGGCACAACUCCUUGAUACCAUGGUGAAGAAGGUGAAACAUGGUGUUGCCAAGGGCCUUUCCAAAUACAAGUGCUAUCGCAUUGAUGACAAGGACACCUUAUUCUUCGAGGAUCGGAUUGUGGUUCCAAAAGGUGAUCUCAGGAAGGUCAUAAUGAAUGAAGCGCACAAUUCUCUUCUUUCCAUCCACCCAGGCAGUUCCAAGAUGUACCAUGACCUCAAUAAAUCGUAUUGGUGGACUCGAAUGGAGCGAGAGAUUGCUCAAUUCGUGAAUGAAUGUGAUGUCUGUCGAAGGGUGAAAGCAGAACAUCAAUGACCAGCUAGUCUCCUCCAACCUCUUGCUAUUCUAGAAUGAAAGUUUUACCAUAUCAAAAUGGACUUUGUCACUAGCUUUCAAAGUACAAGAGAGGGAAUGAUGCUAUCUUCGUUGUCAUUGACAAGCUUACAAAAGUGGCUCAUUUCCUUCGAAUCAAAGAAUCUAUCAUGGUAGCUCAGUUGGCAGAGCUAUACACCUCUAGGAUUGUCUCAUUGCACGGAAUUCCGCAAUUGAUCUCUUCAAACCAUGGAAGCAUUUUCACUAUCAAAGUACUGGGACUCCUCCUAGAAGGCCGUGGGCACCAACAUUCUUUUUAGCACGACUUUCCAUCGUCAAACAAGUGGACAAGUCAAGAGAGUCAAUCAUAUCCUUGAAGACAUGCUCAGAGCUUGUGUCAUCUCUUUCGUGUGAAGUGGGAAGAUUGCCUCCCAUAUGCCGAGUUGUCCUACAACAACAGCUUCCAAGCAAGUUCGGGCAAGGCCCCAUUUGAAAUUCUAUAUGGCAGAAACUGCCGUACUCCUCUCAACUGGUCCGAGACUAGUGAACACCAACUUCGUGGCAAUGACUUGAUCACAGAAGCUGAAGGAAUGUGUAAAGUCAUCUGUGAAAAUCUCAAAGCCGCACAGUCGCGCCAGAAGAGUUACUAUGAUAGCAAGCACCGCGACUUGGCUUUCGAGAUCGGAGACCAUGUCUAUCUCCGCGUCUCUCCGAUGAAAGGCACUAGACGCUUUGGUAUCAAAGGGAAGCUUUCCCCGAGAUACGUGGGUCCUUUCAAGAUCAUUGGCAAAAGAGAUGACCUUGCUUAUCAGCUUGAGACCCCUUCUAACUUCUCAAAUGUGCACGAUGUGUUUCACGUGUCACAACUUUGCAAGUGCUUCAAGAUGCCCGAGCACACUAUCAACUUCGAAGAGAUUGACCUCCAAGAAGACUUGUCUUAUCAUGAGCAUCCCGUUGCCAUUUUUGAAGAAACCAAGCGCAAAACUCACAACAAGUCAAUCAAAUUCCUCAAAGUUAAGUGGUCUCACCAUUUCGACCGAGAAGCUACUUGGGAGCGCGAGGAUCACCUCCGUUCCGAAUAUCCGGAGUUCUUUCAGUCCUAGAUCUAGGGACGAGAUCCUCUUGUAGUGGAGGAGAGUUGUAACACCCCAUUUGUAACAUUUCCCAAUAUGGGCUAUAUAUCCAUCUUGUUCUUCAUCAAUUCCAAGUGGUUCCAUCUUUUGUGUUUCCUUUUUGGGUUUUGUUUUGUUUCUUAUUGCAUUGUCAUUCUUACCUUGUCAUAUUGCAUUUGUGCCUCUUGUCAUUUUGCAUUUGUCAUGUCAUAUUGCAAGAUGAUCAUUACCCCCAAUAUCACUUCUAUUUUUUCUUGCUAGUUGUUCGUUCUAUCGCUAUGUCGCGUUACCUACCACUUAUUUAUCAAGCCUCCCUUAUUGCCAUGUCAAGCCUCUAACCCAACUUCCUAGAAAACCGUUGUUUGUCUAUGUUACCACUUUUGCUCAGCC